RNAcentral lists this unclassified non-coding RNA (209 nucleotides) under Hevea brasiliensis (rubber tree). Lineage: Eukaryota; Viridiplantae; Streptophyta; Magnoliopsida; Malpighiales; Euphorbiaceae. The record is from RNAcentral.
UGCCAACAGUUGUCUUUUUUCGCGAGAUACACUUUGCUCACACUUCUGCUGCUCUUCCUCUGUCAGUAGAACACCCAUACCCUCAAGCAAUUGCUUGUCCAAAACAUCGACGAUAUCCUGCUGGUUGAUCUUAGAAUGUCCUUUUCUUACAGACAUUAUUCCAGCUUCAUUGACUAGAUUUCUUAUGUCUGCCCCAGAAUAUCCAACUG